UACUAGACACUGUGGGCCACCUGGAUGCC
RNAcentral lists this non-coding RNA (29 nucleotides) under Homo sapiens (human). Lineage: Eukaryota; Metazoa; Chordata; Mammalia; Primates; Hominidae. The record is from RNAcentral.